AUUGAACGCUGGCGGCAUGCCUUACACAUGCAAGUCGAACGGCAGCAUGAUCUAGCUUGCUAGAUUGAUGGCGAGUGGCGAACGGGUGAGUAAUACAUCGGAACGUGCCCUGUAGUGGGGGAUAACUAGUCGAAAGAUUAGCUAAUACCGCAUACGACCUGAGGGUGAAAGUGGGGGACCACAAGGCCUCAUGCUAUAGGAGCGGCCGAUGUCUGAUUAGCUAGUUGGUGAGGUAAAGGCUCACCAAGGCGACGAUCAGUAGCUGGUCUGAGAGGACGAUCAGCCACACUGGGACUGAGACACGGCCCAGACUCCUACGGGAGGCAGCAGUGGGGAAUUUUGGACAAUGGGCGAAAGCCUGAUCCAGCAAUGCCGCGUGUGUGAAGAAGGCCUUCGGGUUGUAAAGCACUUUUGUCCGGAAAGAAAUGGCUCUGGUUAAUACCUGGGGUCGAUGACGGUACCGGAAGAAUAAGGACCGGCUAACUACGUG
RNAcentral lists this ribosomal RNA (490 nucleotides) under uncultured bacterium. Its description in RNAcentral is "partial 16S ribosomal RNA". It matches the Rfam family "Bacterial small subunit ribosomal RNA", at positions 30 to 507 of the family's 1533-position model. The record is from RNAcentral.